Molecule: small RNA, 342 nt
Filed under: Enterobacter huaxiensis
Lineage: Bacteria; Pseudomonadati; Pseudomonadota; Gammaproteobacteria; Enterobacterales; Enterobacteriaceae
Description: isrL Hfq binding RNA
Rfam family: isrL Hfq binding RNA
Source: RNAcentral
UUGGCGACGUCGACGUUUUCGCUCUGCUGAUAAAGCUUUCCCACCGCUUCACUGAUGGCGGGGUGCCAGGUCACGGCGCGGUUAACCGCUUCGCCAAGCUGGAGCGUGCCGGGAGCGGCGUUGCCCGGCACGGGGGCCACGCGACCAUUAAGUGAAGGGAGUUCCUGGGUUUCGCUCAGUUGUCCAGUAUUGAUCAUUGCCGCCGGGUUGGCGGCCGUUGCGGGCACAGAUAUCAGGCAGCACGAGAGCCACCAGUAAGGCAUCUUCUUUCCCAUGUCUUAUCCCUAAUAAAAGAGUACAGCUUUAUUGUUUAUGCCCGGGCGCUGCUGCGCCCGGGUCAUU